This 205-nucleotide long non-coding RNA is filed under the name Panax ginseng (ginseng). RNAcentral's name for it is "long non-coding RNA (PGIN_LNC013080)". The record is from RNAcentral. Lineage: Eukaryota; Viridiplantae; Streptophyta; Magnoliopsida; Apiales; Araliaceae.
UUUGUGCCAUCCUCUGUUACUGGAAGGAGUAUUGAUUAGCGAACGCCUUUCAAACUUCUCACCUGUCUUCGAUGGUAAUUUACUUAUAGCCUUAAACCCCUUUUCCCGGGAUUGGCCAAUUUUAUAAAUACUGAAGAAGAAGUCGAGAGAGGGCUCUACUCCUACUUCGUGGCAGAAAGCAAUGAAGGCAAGAAUAUGAAUGUAG